Molecule: ribosomal RNA, 654 nt
Filed under: uncultured bacterium
Lineage: Bacteria
Description: bacterial SSU rRNA
Rfam family: Bacterial small subunit ribosomal RNA
Source: RNAcentral
CUCGCGUCUGAUUAGCUAGUUGGCGGGGUAACGGCCCAUCAAGGCGACGAUCAGUAGCUGGACUGAGAGGUUGAACGGCCACAUUGGGACUGAGACACGGGCCAGACUCCUACGGGAGGCAGCAGUGGGGAAUAUUGAGCAAUGGGGGAAACCCUGACGCAGCAACGCCGCGUGAUGAAGAAGGCCUUCGGGUUGUAAAGAUCUUUAAUUCGGGUCGAAAAAAAUGACGGUACCGAAAGAAUAAGCUCCGGCUAACUACGUGCCAGCAGCCGCGGUAAUACGUAGGGAGCAAGCGUUAUCCGGAUUUACUGGGUGUAAAGGGCGCGCAGGCGGGCUUGCAAGUUGGGAGUGAAAUCCCGGGGCUCAACCCCGGAACUGCUUUCAAAACUGUGAGUCUUGAGUGAUGGAGAGGCAGGCGGAAUUCCCAGUGUAGCGGUGAAAUGCGUAGAUAUUGGGAGGAACACCAGUGGCGAAGGCGGCCUGCUGGACAUUAACUGACGCUGAGGCGCGAAAGCGUGGGGAGCAAACAGGAUUAGAUACCCUGGUAGUCCACGCCGUAAACGAUGGAUACUAGGUGUGGGGGGUAUUGACCCCCUCCGUGCCGCAGUUAACACAAUAAGUAUCCCACAAGGGGAGUACGGCCGCAAGGUGAAA